AGUGAACGCUGGCGGUAGGCCUAACACAUGCAAGUCGAACGGCAGCACCGUAAGUGCUUGCGCUUACGGGUGGCGAGUGGCGGACGGGUGAGGUAUACAUCGGAAUCUACUUUUUCGCGGGGGAUAACGUAGGGAAACUUACGCUAAUACCGCAUACGACCUACGGGUGAAAGCAGGGGAUCUUCGGACCUUGCGCGAUUGAAUGAGCCGAUGUCGGAUUAGCUAGUUGGCGGGGUAAAGGCCCACCAAGGCGACGAUCCGUAGGUGGUCUGAGCGGAUGAUCAGCCACACUGGAAGAGAGACACGGUCCAGACUCCUACGGGAGGCAGCAGUGGGGAAUAUUGGACAAUGGGCGCAAGGCUGAUCCAGCCAUACCGCGUGGGUGAAGAAGGCGUUCGGGUGGUAGAACCCUUUUGGUGGGAAAGAAGAGCAGCAGGUUAAUCCCGCGCUGUUCUGACGGUACCCAAAGAAUAAGCACCGGCUAACUUCGUG
Molecule: ribosomal RNA, 492 nt
Filed under: uncultured bacterium
Lineage: Bacteria
Description: partial 16S ribosomal RNA
Rfam family: Bacterial small subunit ribosomal RNA
Source: RNAcentral